AUUGAACGCUGGCGGCAUGCCUUACACAUGCAAGUCGAACGGUAACAGGUCUUCGGAUGCUGACGAGUGGCGAACGGGUGAGUAAUACAUCGGAACGUGCCUAGUAGUGGGGGAUAACUACUCGAAAGAGUGGCUAAUACCGCAUGAGAUCUACGGAUGAAAGCAGGGGAUCGCAAGGCCUUGUGCUACUAGAGCGGCCGAUGGCAGAUUAGGUAGGUGGUGGGAUAAAAGCUUACCAAGCCAACGAGCUGUAGCUGGUCUGAGAGGACGAUCAGCCACACUGGGACUGAUACACGGCCCAGACUCCUACGUGAGGCAGCAGUGGGGAAUUUUGGACAAUGGGCGAAAGCCUGAUCCAGCAAUGCCGCGUGCAGGAUGAAGGCCUUCGGGUUGUAAACUGCUUUUGUACGGAACGAAAAGCCCCGGGUUAAUACCCUGGGGUCAUGACGGUACCGUAAGAAUAAGCACCGGCUAACUACGUGCCAGCAGCCGCCGUAA
RNAcentral lists this ribosomal RNA (498 nucleotides) under uncultured bacterium. RNAcentral's name for it is "partial 16S ribosomal RNA". It matches the Rfam family "Bacterial small subunit ribosomal RNA", at positions 30 to 523 of the family's 1533-position model. The record is from RNAcentral.